CUUUUGCCAUCGGAGUCCAGUUUCUGCUCAUGAGAGUGCUUGCCUGGUUACCAGCCCCAGCCCUGUUCGGCAUGACCAUCGACAGCUCCUGUAUCUGGUGGAAACAUGCCUGUGGCAACCGGCUGGGCUGUGGUUACUAUGACAAUAACACCCUGAGGAACAGAUACCUGGGUCUGCAGGUGGGCUUCAAGGUGAUGGGGAUCUUCUUGCUGGGACUGGCUGGA
Oncorhynchus masou masou (cherry salmon) is the source of this 224-nucleotide long non-coding RNA. RefSeq lists it as uncharacterized. The record is from RefSeq and is a predicted model, not a curated record. The transcript has 3 exons. NCBI's taxonomy places the organism in Eukaryota, Metazoa, Chordata, Actinopteri, Salmoniformes, Salmonidae.